UGCCUUCCUCCUUGUCAGUCAGAGGGGCGGUUUCCACAAUUGGUGAGCGGCUGUCCCCCUGACUUUAUUUUGCUGGGCGUCUACGUGUCAGCUUGAUGUUUGACUGCGAGAGUAUCUCGAAGUUUUAGGUGGAAGAUGUCGGAGACUAACAGAGCCGCACGUAGCGACGGAGACGAGGAGCAGGUUUCUGGUGCUGAAGUCAUCGCCCAGGCCCUGAAAACGCAAGAUGUGGAGUACAUGUUUGGCAUCGUAGGCAUCCCAGUGACCGAAAUCGCCGUUGCGGCCCAGAGGAUGGGCGUCAGAUAUGUCGGGAUGAGGAAUGAGCAAGCGGCUUGUUAUGCUGCCUCUGCGAUUGGAUAUCUGACAGGCAGGCCUGGCGUAUGCCUUGUUGUUUCUGGCCCAGGUCUCAUCCAUGCUUUGGGUGGUAUGGCAAAUGCAAACAUGAACUGUUGGCCCUUGAUUGUGAUUGGUGGUUCUUCUGAAAGAAGUCAGGAAACUAUGGGAGCCUUCCAGGAGUUUCCUCAGGUUGAAGCUUGUAGAUUAUAUAGCAAGUUCUCUGCCCGGCCAAGCAGCAUAGAGACUAUUCCCGCUAUUAUCGAGAAGGCAGUGAGAAGCAGCAUUUAUGGUCGCCCAGGUGCUUGUUAUGUUGACAUACCUGCAGAUUUUGUGAACUUGCAGGUGAAUGUGAAUUCUGUAAGGUACAUGGAGUGUUGCAUGCCACCUCCUGUUAGUAUGGCAGAGACCUCCGCUAUAUGUAUGGCAGCAACUGUUAUUAGAAAUGCCAAGAAGCCCCUUCUUAUCAUCGGGAAAGGUGCUGCUUAUGCCCAUGCAGAGGAGGGUAUCAGGAAAUUGGUGGAGCGGUGUAAGUUGCCGUUUUUGCCCACCCCCAUGGGAAAGGGUGUUAUCCCUGAUAACCAUCCGAACUGUGUGGCUGCUGCCAGAUCCAGGGCUUUGCAAUUUGCUGAUGUAAUUGUGUUAUUUGGUGCCCGAUUAAAUUGGAUUUUGCAUUUUGGACUGCCUCCAAGAUACCAGCCAGAUGUGAAGUUUAUCCAGGUUGAUAUCUGUGCAGAAGAAUUGGGGAAUAAUGUAAAGCCUGCUGUGACUUUGCUAGGAGACAUAAAUGCUGUCACUAAACAGCUUUUAGAACAAUUUGAUAAAACACCAUGGCAGUAUCCUCCAGAGAGCAGCUGGUGGAAAACUCUGAGAGAAAAAAUGAAGAGCAAUGAAGCCGCAUCCAAGGAAUUAGCUUCCCAAAAAUCUCUGCCUAUGAAUUAUUACACAGUAUUCUAUCAUGUUCAAGAACAGCUACCCAGAGACUGUUUUGUAGUAAGUGAAGGAGCAAAUACUAUGGAUAUUGGACGCACUGUGCUUCAAAACUACCUUCCUCGUCACAGGCUUGAUGCUGGUACUUUUGGAACCAUGGGAGUUGGUUUGGGCUUUGCCAUUGCAGCCGCUAUACUGGCUAAAGCUAGAAACACAGGUCAGCGGGUCAUCUGUGUGGAAGGAGACAGUGCAUUUGGGUUUUCUGGCAUGGAAGUGGAAACCAUCUGUAGGUACAACUUGCCCAUCAUUCUUUUGGUGGUGAAUAAUAAUGGAAUUUACCAAGGUUUUGAUGUGGAUAGUUGGAAGGAAAUGUUAAAAUUUGGAGAUGCUACUGCAGUGGCCCCUCCCGUCUGUCUUUUGCCAAACUCACAUUACGAGCAGGUUAUGACUGCGUUUGGAGGCAAAGGGUAUUUCGUACAAACACCGGAAGAGCUCCAAAAAUCACUGAGGGAGAGUUUGGCAGACACAACUGCACCUUCUCUUAUCAAUAUCAUGAUUGAGCCACAAGCCACGCGGAAAGCCCAGGAUUUUCACUGGCUGACACACUCUAAGAUAUAAAGAUGUCCGGGAAUGGUCGUGAGGAGUUUUCUUUCCUGAGCAGCAAAAGAUGACAAGAGAAUCUCCCUACAAGGAGUCACUGAGGCUGCAGGGUUUGAAUGUCUUCCCCAAAGGAUGUGAAAUCGGAAAAGAAUCCCUACCCUUAAGUUGGCACUGGUGUUCCUGGACGCCUGCAGUAAAAGAGAGUACCGAAGCAGGCUCUGAGGUGUCAGCAGAGAGCCCAAUGUGGGGCUCGAACUCACAAACCGUGAGACCAUGACCUGAACCAAACUCGGAUGCUUCACCAACUGAACCACUGAGGCGCCCCAUUGAAGGGACAAUUUUCAAAGAGAAAAGAUUUGAAAGAGAACAAAUGGAACUGUGAUUUUGACAUGAGGAUUUCUGGAAUUUUCCAUUUUGAUGAUCUCACAAAAUGCUUGGCUUAAGAUUUAGGGGAAAAAAUCAGUGUUACCUAAAGAACAGUGACAGAGUAUGAGGAACAGCAGUGAUGAAGUGAUAAAGAAAUAGAUCGUAAAGCUUCUAUUUAAUUCGACAUCCAUUGAAUCCCUACCAUGUGACAUUCAUUUUGCCCACCCUGUAUGUGGCAAGAUAUGAGCUUCUAGGUUGCUUAUCUGAGAAGUCAUGAGAUGAAACUUCUACCCUGGAACACCUACUGGGGUCUCCACACCAACUUUGGGCUGAGAUUUGACUCAAUGAGAUUGAUAAUAAAGAGGAUGCAGGUGAGAUGGUGUUUUUCAAGUUGCAAGAGAGUAUGAGGGGAGGCCGUUUUAGGCACAGAGGAAGAAUCCGGGCUCUGAGGGACAGCCACGGAAGGGGUAAAUCUAGCUCCUCAGCAAUGAUAACACAUGGCAACAUGCUUGGCCAUGUGCAAUUGAGGCUGCUCCUCAAAUUUCUGACAAUAUGGAACUAAACAGAACAGGAGAUUGCUUUCAUAAGAGCCAGCAGACAUGGGAGAAAAAGGGCUCACCAGAGACUUUGUCUUUGGGGUCUUUGAAAAUUGCUUCCCACUAGCUCUUUUAAUAUAUCUUGAUCCUUCCUGUAAACAGUGCAUAGUAAACACUUUACAUUCAUUAUUUUUAAAAAGCCAAUUAUAUUCAUAAAACAAUAAGUAAA
Molecule: RNA transcript, 2994 nt
Organism: Felis catus (domestic cat)
Lineage: Eukaryota; Metazoa; Chordata; Mammalia; Carnivora; Felidae
Gene: HACL1
Gene name: 2-hydroxyacyl-CoA lyase 1
Exons: 19
Source: RefSeq, a predicted model, not a curated record